GAAGCUGGAUUCGCUAGUAAUCGCGCAUCGGCCACGGCGCGGUGAAUACGUUCCCGGGCCUUGUACACACCGCCCGUCAAGCCAUGGGAGCCGGGGGUACCUGAAGUGCGUGACCGCAAGGAGCGCCCUAAGGUAAAACCGGUGACUGGGGCUAAGUCGUAACAAGGUAAC
This 171-nucleotide ribosomal RNA is filed under the name uncultured bacterium. Its description in RNAcentral is "partial 16S ribosomal RNA". It matches the Rfam family "Bacterial small subunit ribosomal RNA", at positions 1322 to 1500 of the family's 1533-position model. The record is from RNAcentral.